AUUUCUUCUUGGCCUUUUGGCUAAGAUCAAGUGUAGUAUCUGUUCUUAUCAGUUUAAUAUCUGAGAUGUCCUCUACCCAAGGACAAUACAUUAAAUGGACUUUUGAAGCAGGGCGGAGGAAUAGGAGCUGCUCCGUGCACACGGGGCAUCAGCCUGGAACUGGAGUACUUCAGGGAACGGUGCGAAGAAA
Small nuclear RNA from Molossus molossus (Pallas's mastiff bat), 190 nucleotides. RefSeq annotates it as U2 spliceosomal RNA. NCBI's taxonomy places the organism in Eukaryota, Metazoa, Chordata, Mammalia, Chiroptera, Molossidae. The transcript has a single exon. The record is from RefSeq and is a predicted model, not a curated record.